UAUGUUUGGAGAAGGCAAGUUUUAGGUUGUUGAGACAGUGACGUGGAUAAUUAUUCCGAUUUUCGAUAAAGUUUCAAGUGACAAAGAUACAAUCGAUUUGAGUCGAAUCGAAUCGAAUCGAAUCGAAUUGGGUCGGAAUGAAUGGAUCGAGAUAAAUUCGAGACUGAUAUUCGACAUGCGGCGAAAUUCAGAACCAUUUCCUACGUUCGAGUAAGACGGUUGCUUGCGUGUGGUGAUAUUCUUCGAUAAUUCUUAUCGCGCAACAAUCGUUCGUCCAGCGAACAUUUGAUCUUGAGAAAAAGUAAAUUUUACGGCCGUCAAAAUUUUACGAAGAAAGAAGUAUGAAUAUUAACUCCAGUCUACCAUUAAGUAAUUGUGAAAGUAGUAAAAAGGGCUUAAUAAUGCCAAGUCUAAUAUCCAGCAAUUGUGAAAUGUCAAAUAAGUGUAUGGAUGAAAGUUUAGAAGAAGGUUGCACACUGCAACAACAUUAUUGUAUAACGCUGGGCGUAGGGCCUCUGUGGUGGUCCUGAUGUGCCCCAUGCCGCAUUGUCUGUAUCUACAGUCAACACAGAGAGCCGCGGCGUGGGGAUCAAGCAAAGUCAGCUCUCUGUGAGCUCCCAUAUUGUACAAGAGGAUGAAUUAUUGAAAGCCGUGAGAAAUAGCGAAUCUUUACGCCUGACUUUUACUUUACACUUGACCGAGAGCACAUCCGUCGAGUGGGAAACAGUAGUGUGGCGCCGUUGUCUCUAUAUUCGCGUACCAAGUUGUCUCUUACCAGAAGG
Molecule: non-coding RNA, 782 nt
Organism: Nomia melanderi (Alkali bee)
Lineage: Eukaryota; Metazoa; Arthropoda; Insecta; Hymenoptera; Halictidae
Source: RefSeq, a predicted model, not a curated record